RNAcentral lists this non-coding RNA (21 nucleotides) under Caenorhabditis elegans. The record is from RNAcentral. Lineage: Eukaryota; Metazoa; Nematoda; Chromadorea; Rhabditida; Rhabditidae.
UGUGCCCUUACCUGUGCAUCU